UUGAACGCUGGCGGCAUGCUUUACACAUGCAAGUCGAACGGCAGCGGGGGCUUCGGCCUGCCGGCGAGUGGCGAACGGGUGAGUAAUGCAUCGGAACGUGCCCAGUCAUGGGGGAUAACUACGCGAAAGCGUAGCUAAUACCGCAUACGCCCUGAGGGGGAAAGCGGGGGAUCGCAAGACCUCGCGUGAUUGGAGCGGCCGAUGUCGGAUUAGCUAGUUGGUGGGGUAAAGGCCUACCAAGGCGACGAUCCGUAGCGGGUCUGAGAGGAUGAUCCGCCACACUGGGACUGAGACACGGCCCAGACUCCUACGGGAGGCAGCAGUGGGGAAUUUUGGACAAUGGGGGCAACCCUGAUCCAGCCAUGCCGCGUGAGUGGAGAAGGCCUUCGGGUUGUAAAGCUCUUUCGGCCGGGAAGAAAUCGUGGUCUCUAACAUAGGCCAUGGAUGACGGUACCGGACUAAGAAGCACCGGCUAACUACGU
RNAcentral lists this ribosomal RNA (482 nucleotides) under uncultured bacterium. RNAcentral describes it as "bacterial SSU rRNA". It matches the Rfam family "Bacterial small subunit ribosomal RNA", at positions 29 to 506 of the family's 1533-position model. The record is from RNAcentral.